AUGGCAGGACCUAACAACCCGGGGAAGAGCGUGAUGGAUUUAGGGAAUAGCGGCGGCGGCGCCAUGGUUGUACAUCGGCGCGUCGUCCGUGACACCGGCGGGGCCUGGCCCAUGCUGACGCGCACGAACUACGCUGACUGGGCCCUCCUGAUGCAAGUCAUGCUGGAGGCGCGCCAGCUCUGGGUUGCCGUCAACGACGGGACCACGGAGCGAGAAACAGAUCGCAUGGCAAUGGAGUGCCUGUUGCAAUCGGUGCCGCCGGAGAUGGUAUCCACGCUCGCCGUCGAGCCCACGGUGAAGGACGCCUGGGGCACGAUUAAGACGAUGCGACUGGGUGUGGCGCGCGUUCGUGAGGCCAAGGCGACGUCUCUGCGCUGCUAG
This 381-nucleotide ribosomal RNA is filed under the name Triticum aestivum (bread wheat). RNAcentral's name for it is "partial small subunit ribosomal RNA". Lineage: Eukaryota; Viridiplantae; Streptophyta; Magnoliopsida; Poales; Poaceae. The record is from RNAcentral.